This 433-nucleotide ribosomal RNA is filed under the name uncultured bacterium. RNAcentral's name for it is "partial 16S ribosomal RNA". It matches the Rfam family "Bacterial small subunit ribosomal RNA", at positions 29 to 507 of the family's 1533-position model. The record is from RNAcentral.
AACGAACGCUGGCGGCAUGCCUAACACAUGCAAGUCGAACGAGACCUGCGGGGCUAGUGGCGCACGGGUGCGUAACGCGCGGGAACCUGCCCUUAGGUUCGGAAUAACUCCCCGAAAGGGGUGCUAAUACCGGAGAAUGUCCUCGCACCAAAGAUUUAUCGCAGUUGGAUGGGCCUGCGUGGGAUUAGCUAGUUGGUAGUGUAAAAGCCUACCAAGGCGACGAGCCGUAGCUGGUCUGAGAGGAUGAUCAGCCACACUGGGACUGGGACCCGGCCCCGCUUCCUACGGGAGGCAGCAGUGGGGAAUAUUGGACGAUGAGCGCAAGCCUGAUCUAGCAAUGCCGCGUGAGUGAUGAAGGCCUUAGGGUUGUACAGCUCUUUUACCCGCGAUGUUAAUGACAGUACCGGGAGAAUAAGCGCCGGCUAACUCCGUG